GUAAAUAUAGCUCAAUUGGUAGAGCAGUAUAUUUUAAAGGUUAAGAGUUCGAAUCUCUUUAUUUAUA
RNAcentral lists this transfer RNA (67 nucleotides) under Rickettsiales bacterium. Its description in RNAcentral is "tRNA-Ser". It matches the Rfam family "tRNA". Rfam says of the family: Transfer RNA (tRNA) molecules are approximately 80 nucleotides in length. Their secondary structure includes four short double-helical elements and three loops (D, anti-codon, and T loops). The record is from RNAcentral. Lineage: Bacteria; Pseudomonadati; Pseudomonadota; Alphaproteobacteria; Rickettsiales.